This 429-nucleotide ribosomal RNA is filed under the name uncultured Treponema sp. Its description in RNAcentral is "bacterial SSU rRNA". It matches the Rfam family "Bacterial small subunit ribosomal RNA", at positions 355 to 776 of the family's 1533-position model. The record is from RNAcentral. Lineage: Bacteria; Pseudomonadati; Spirochaetota; Spirochaetia; Treponematales; Treponemataceae.
CUAAGAAUAUUCCGCAAUGGACGAAAGUCUGACGGAGCGACGCCGCGUGGAUGACGAAGGCCGUGAGGUUGUAAAAUCCUUUUGCUGGGGAAGAAUAAGCGCGGGAGGGAAUGCCCGCGUGAUGACAUGAACCGGCGAAUAAGCCCCGGCCAACUACGUGCCAGCAGCCGCGGUAACACGUAGGGGGCAAGCGUUGUUCGGAAUUACUGGGCGUAAAGGGCAUGUAGGCGGUCCUGUAAGCCUGGCGUGAAAGGCUGCGGCUCAACCGUAGCACUGCGCUGGGAACUGCGGGACUGGAGUCACGGAGGGGGAGCUAGAAUUCCGGGUGUAGGGGUGAAAUCUGUAGAUAUCCGGAAGAAUACCAGUGGCGAAGGCGAGCUCCUGGCCGAUGACUGACGCUGAGGUGCGAAAGCGUGGGGAGCAAACAGG